Molecule: ribosomal RNA, 2671 nt
Filed under: Staphylococcus epidermidis
Lineage: Bacteria; Bacillati; Bacillota; Bacilli; Caryophanales; Staphylococcaceae
Description: partial 23S ribosomal RNA
Rfam family: Bacterial large subunit ribosomal RNA
Source: RNAcentral
CAUGAGUUAUGUCAUGUUAUCGACAUGUGAAUUCAUAGCAUGUCAGAAGGCAGACCCGGAGAACUGAAACAUCUUAGUACCCGGAGGAAGAGAAAGAAAAAUCGAUUCCCUGAGUAGCGGCGAGCGAAACGGGAAGAGCCCAAACCAACAAGCUUGCUUGUUGGGGUUGUAGGACACUCUAUACGGAGUUACAAAAGAACAUGUUAGACGAAUCAUCUGGAAAGAUGAAUCAAAGAAGGUAAUAAUCCUGUAGUCGAAAACAUAUUCUCUCUUGAGUGGAUCCUGAGUACGACGGAGCACGUGAAAUUCCGUCGGAAUCUGGGAGGACCAUCUCCUAAGGCUAAAUACUCUCUAGUGACCGAUAGUGAACCAGUACCGUGAGGGAAAGGUGAAAAGUACCCCGGAAGGGGAGUGAAAGAGAACUUGAAACCGUGUGCUUACAAGUAGUCAGAGCCCGUUAAUGGGUGAUGGCGUGCCUUUUGUAGAAUGAACCGGCGAGUUACGAUCUGAUGCAAGGUUAAGCAGCAAAUGUGGAGCCGCAGCGAAAGCGAGUCUGAAUAGGGCGUUGAGUAUUUGGUCGUAGACCCGAAACCAGGUGAUCUACCCUUGGUCAGGUUGAAGUUCAGGUAACACUGAAUGGAGGACCGAACCGACUUACGUUGAAAAGUGAGCGGAUGAACUGAGGGUAGCGGAGAAAUUCCAAUCGAACUUGGAGAUAGCUGGUUCUCUCCGAAAUAGCUUUAGGGCUAGCCUCAAGUGAUGAUUAUUGGAGGUAGAGCACUGUUUGGACGAGGGGCCCCUCUCGGGUUACCGAAUUCAGACAAACUCCGAAUGCCAAUUAAUUUAACUUGGGAGUCAGAACAUGGGUGAUAAGGUCCGUGUUCGAAAGGGAAACAGCCCAGACCACCAGCUAAGGUCCCAAAAUAUAUGUUAAGUGGAAAAGGAUGUGGCGUUGCCCAGACAACUAGGAUGUUGGCUUAGAAGCAGCCAUCAUUUAAAGAGUGCGUAAUAGCUCACUAGUCGAGUGACACUGCGCCGAAAAUGUACCGGGGCUAAACAUAUUACCGAAGCUGUGGAUUGUCCUUUGGACAAUGGUAGGAGAGCGUUCUAAGGGCGUCGAAGCAUGAUCGCAAGGACAUGUGGAGCACNNNNNNNNNNNNNNNNNNNNNNNNNNNNNNNNNNNNNNNNNNNNNNNNNNNNNNNNNNNNNNNNNNNNNNNNNNNNNNNNNNNNNNNNNNNNNNNNUGCACGUCCAAGCAGUAAGGCUGAGUGUUAGGCAAAUCCGGCACUCAUAAGGCUGAGCUGUGAUGGGGAGAGGAAAUUGUUUCCUCGAGUCGUUGAUUUCACACUGCCGAGAAAAGCCUCUAGAUAGAUAACAGGUGCCCGUACCGCAAACCGACACAGGUAGUCAAGAUGAGAAUUCUAAGGUGAGCGAGCGAACUCUCGUUAAGGAACUCGGCAAAAUGACCCCGUAACUUCGGGAGAAGGGGUGCUCUUUAGGGUUCACGCCCAGAAGAGCCGCAGUGAAUAGGCCCAAGCGACUGUUUAUCAAAAACACAGGUCUCUGCUAAACCGUAAGGUGAUGUAUAGGGGCUGACGCCUGCCCGGUGCUGGAAGGUUAAGAGGAGUGGUUAGCUUCUGCGAAGCUACGAAUCGAAGCCCCAGUAAACGGCGGCCGUAACUAUAACGGUCCUAAGGUAGCGAAAUUCCUUGUCGGGUAAGUUCCGACCCGCACGAAAGGCGUAACGAUUUGGGCACUGUCUCAACGAGAGACUCGGUGAAAUCAUAGUACCUGUGAAGAUGCAGGUUACCCGCGACAGGACGGAAAGACCCCGUGGAGCUUUACUGUAGCCUGAUAUUGAAAUUCGGCACAGCUUGUACAGGAUAGGUAGGAGCCUUUGAAACGUGAGCGCUAGCUUACGUGGAGGCGUUGGUGGGAUACUACCCUAGCUGUGUUGGCUUUCUAACCCGCACCACUUAUCGUGGUGGGAGACAGUGUCAGGCGGGCAGUUUGACUGGGGCGGUCGCCUCCUAAAAGGUAACGGAGGCGCUCAAAGGUUCCCUCAGAAUGGUUGGAAAUCAUUCAUAGAGUGUAAAGGCAUAAGGGAGCUUGACUGCGAGACCUACAAGUCGAGCAGGGUCGAAAGACGGACUUAGUGAUCCGGUGGUUCCGCAUGGAAGGGCCAUCGCUCAACGGAUAAAAGCUACCCCGGGGAUAACAGGCUUAUCUCCCCCAAGAGUUCACAUCGACGGGGAGGUUUGGCACCUCGAUGUCGGCUCAUCGCAUCCUGGGGCUGUAGUCGGUCCCAAGGGUUGGGCUGUUCGCCCAUUAAAGCGGUACGCGAGCUGGGUUCAGAACGUCGUGAGACAGUUCGGUCCCUAUCCGUCGUGGGCGUAGGAAAUUUGAGAGGAGCUGUCCUUAGUACGAGAGGACCGGGAUGGACAUACCUCUGGUGUACCAGUUGUCGUGCCAACGGCAUAGCUGGGUAGCUAUGUAUGGACGGGAUAAGUGCUGAAAGCAUCUAAGCAUGAAGCCCCCCUCAAGAUGAGAUUUCCCAACUUCGGUUAUAAGAUCCCUCGAAGAUGACGAGGUUAAUAGGUUCGAGGUGGAAGCGUGGUGACACGUGGAGCUGACGAAUACUAAUCGAUCGAAGACUUAAUCAAUUUUUAAA